This 434-nucleotide ribosomal RNA is filed under the name Acinetobacter sp. CG. Its description in RNAcentral is "bacterial SSU rRNA". It matches the Rfam family "Bacterial small subunit ribosomal RNA", at positions 60 to 488 of the family's 1533-position model. Lineage: Bacteria; Pseudomonadati; Pseudomonadota; Gammaproteobacteria; Moraxellales; Moraxellaceae. The record is from RNAcentral.
AGUCGAGCGGGGGAAGGUAGCUUGCUACUGGACCUAGCGGCGGACGGGUGAGUAAUGCUUAGGAAUCUGCCUAUUAGUGGGGGACAACAUUCCGAAAGGAAUGCUAAUACCGCAUACGUCCUACGGGAGAAAGCAGGGGACCUUCGGGCCUUGCGCUAAUAGAUGAGCCUAAGUCGGAUUAGCUAGUUGGUGGGGUAAAGGCCUACCAAGGCGACGAUCUGUAGCGGGUCUGAGAGGAUGAUCCGCCACACUGGGACUGAGACACGGCCCAGACUCCUACGGGAGGCAGCAGUGGGGAAUAUUGGACAAUGGGGGGAACCCUGAUCCAGCCAUGCCGCGUGUGUGAAGAAGGCCUUAUGGUUGUAAAGCACUUUAAGCGAGGAGGAGGCUACUAGUAUUAAUACUACUGGAUAGUGGACGUUACUCGCAGAAUA